CCGAAGGAGUUUUCUUUUAUGAUAGAGGCUCUAACUACAACAACGGCCGUCCAGGUCAAGAUCAUCAGUUCAAAGGUCGGGUCGCACAUUUUCAAGAUGAGCUGAAGUACGGCAACGCCUCCAUCAUCAUCAGAAAUACGAAGGUGACCGACAGUGGAGACUACACCUGUGAUUUUCCAGCUUGAGCCAAGACAGAUAUUCCACAUUCAUCUUAUUGUUGUUGACUUCGCCUUUAAAGACAGGAGAGCAGAAAUUAGAGGUGCAGCUCAAAAGCCGUCUGUUAGUGCACUCGGUCAAACAGCUGAUGGGGCCCUGCUGCAGUGUGAAGUUCUUGGUGCUUCUUCAAAACCUACAGUAGAGUGGCAGGACAGUGCUGGAAACAAACUUCCUGCUGAGGAGCCACAGGUCUCAGAAAGAGGAGGCAGCUUCUACAUCACCCUCCAAACUACUGUGAUGAAGACCGACCGCUAUCGCUGUGUAGCCACACAGGAGGAGAUCAAACAUCAGAUUUAUACUGAGACCUACGUGUUUAUCUGUGAGAAACUGUUUGUGGACACGUGCAGCAGAGGAGUUGUCGCAGGAUUGUUUGGUGGAAUUUUUUAGGAGCUGUAAUUGUUGCUGCUGUUCAAGCUUUUCUUGUAGCUACAAAGUUCAUCAAAAUAAGUCGUACUAAAGGUUCUCGUGAGUACAGAAACGGUCAUCAUUGAGAUCCUGCAGAGCUGCUGUCAAGAAACACUCAUUGAUUGAUUAACGGACGUUUUAAAGAGUGGUUACAGUGGAAUCCGAUAAUUGCUGCAUCCCUACUUUGUUACUUUGUAUUUUUCAUUGUCUAAAGAAUUAUGUGUUUUAUUCAUGUUGUCUUGUUGGUUUUGUUGUUAAGUUUUAUUUACAUUAAGUGUAACAAACCACUAUUUGUUUUCUUUAAGUGAAACGUGUUAUGUGCAUUUCUUUCCUCAACGCUAGUUUUAAAGAAAGAUUGUGUUUUUAAUCAUAUGAAAGAAAGAAUACUGGUGCCUUGUUUCAAUGACUUGAAGUUUCACUUUCUGGAUGUAAGAUGUCUGUUUCACUGUAAAGUUCACUGUGUGUGUUUUUUGCACUGGUUCAUCACGCCACACUUGUAGAUGCAUACUGCCCUAUGAUUGGUCCAAACUAAAUGUGAAUCAGCAUGCUUGUUAGUGAAAAAAGCUCUUACAAAUCUGUUUACCUUCAUUUCCUGUCUACUUUAAGCUGUUACAUAAAAGUGUUAAUGUCAUACAAA
This is a long non-coding RNA of Micropterus salmoides (largemouth bass), 1258 nucleotides long. RefSeq lists it as uncharacterized. The transcript is spliced from 6 exons. NCBI's taxonomy places the organism in Eukaryota, Metazoa, Chordata, Actinopteri, Centrarchiformes, Centrarchidae. The record is from RefSeq and is a predicted model, not a curated record.